This is a non-coding RNA of Siniperca chuatsi (mandarin fish), 1544 nucleotides long. NCBI's taxonomy places the organism in Eukaryota, Metazoa, Chordata, Actinopteri, Centrarchiformes, Sinipercidae. The record is from the annotation of a RefSeq genome assembly.
UCCAAAACACCUUUAGAGACAAGUGGAGAUUUAGAAGCGAUUAGUAGGGCCCUGCCAGAGGAUCUCAAGCAGCGGUCCACCGAGGUUACUGCCUCUUUUUAACAUUAUUAGAUAAGACAGAUUGUUAAUGCUGCUGAAGGGCCAGAAGGGUCAUUAGAAUUAUUUCUGAUUUGGAGUCAUUUAACUGCAGGACACUUUUGGACAUCUAGUCCUUAAUUUCAGCGAGGCAGGACAGAAUACAGGACACGUCAGUGGCACCAGGCUUGAUCCAGACAUACAGUUGAGUGUAAUCCGUGUAGCAAUGAAAAUUGAUAUUGUGUCCAUGCAUGAUUUGCCCCAGGGAUUGUAUGUACAUAGUAAAUAAGAGGGGACCCAGAAUAUACCGCUGAGGGACCCCACAAAACAGAGGAGCAUGAGAGGAGGAGGCAUCUCCAAGCAUAACAGAGAAAGACCUUUCUGACAGAUCAGAGAUGAUCCAAUCUAGAGCCACAUCACUGAUGCCAAUAUAGUUCUUCAGACAUUGUGGUUCACUGAGUCAAAGGCUGAGCUGAGAUCAAGGAGAAUUAAAAUGGAGUACAGGCCUGCGUCAGCAGCAAGCAGAGGAGUCUCUGUUCGAACCGGUCUGACAUACUGCUUUAAAAAGUGGGCAUGCAGUCUGAAGGGCAGUAUGCAGUCGGGGGUUUUGAUUUUUCAGUUGUUUCUCUCCAGAUUCAUUCAGGUGAAUUUUCUGCAGAUUCCUCCUUCAGUCUGACCUUCUUGGAUGAUGAUGACUGCAGCAUCACAGUCAUUUCUAACGCUUCCAUCAGCCUGAAUGGAAACAGACCACAGCAAGAGGAGGAGCUACACCACUGAAUAUGAAAGGCUUCAUUUUGGAACUGAAGAGCUGCUUUGCUCUCUCUAUUGUUCAUUCAGUACAAGUGAAAAUCAUGCAGCGCUCUUUGGUUUGGAUGAUGAUGUUCAUGUUUCAUACAGGAUCCUCUGAGGAUGUAGUGAAACCAUUUGAAGAUGUAAUGCUGGCUUUGGAAGGAGAUACUGUGACUCUCUCCUGCAACUAUUCAGGCUCUGUCACCAACGUCUACUGGUAUCAACAGAAGUCCAGUUCAUCUCCACAGCUUCUCAUCGCAAGUUAUUCAGAGAAAACAGCAAGGUUGUCUGUUACACAUGACACAAAAACAAAAGAGGUUCAUCUGCAGAUCUCCUCUGCUGCAGUGACUGACUCUGCUGUGUACUACUGUGCUCUGCGGCCCACAGUGACAGGAAACACCAAGACUCUGUACAAAAACCUUUGGAGCAAAGACAACAGAAUACUCCACAACAUCCACUAGAGGGAGUCACACACUGUUAACCUUCAGUGAUAUGUGAUGAUACAGUCUAGAAUCAUGGACACCUCCUCCACAAGUUGUUCCCUCAGUUAUAUAUACAGCCUUUAUUUAAUCAGGUCGUCUCACUGAGAUCAGACAGACCUGAGUACAGCAGGUAGAGAGAAACACAAGCUAAAGGACAGACAGCAUCAGAGACAGACGUCACAGAUCAUCUGGUCUUAU